Molecule: ribosomal RNA, 404 nt
Filed under: uncultured archaeon
Lineage: Archaea
Description: bacterial SSU rRNA
Rfam family: Archaeal small subunit ribosomal RNA
Source: RNAcentral
GACCGUGUCUGGUGCCGCAGGGAAGCCGUGAAGCGAGCCACCUGGGAAGUACGGCNNNCGCAAGGCUGAAACUUAAAGGAAUUGGCGGGGGAGCACAACANACGGGUGGAGCCUGCGGUUAAUUGGACUCAACGCCGGACAACUCACCGGGGGCGACAGCAAUAUGUAGGCCAAGCUGAAGACUUUGCCUGAAUCGCUGAGAGGAUGCAUGGCCGUCGCCAGUUCGUACUGUGAAGCAUCCUGUUAAGUCAGGCAACGAGCGAGACCCGUGCCCACUGUUACCAGCAUGUCCUCCGGGACGAUGGGUACUCUGUGGGGACCGCCGAUGUUAAAUCGGAGGAAGGUGCGGGCCACGGUAGGUCAGUAUGCCCCGAAUCUCCCGGGCUACACGCGGGCUACAAUGG